GCGCACACACACACAUAUAUAAUCGGAUCAGUAAUCUUCAAAUCCACAUCCAUAACGCAACCACUCACGCCUUUAACAAUUUUCACAUACUCAAACGCUCAAAACAUGUUAUUAUAAUUUCUUUUUCUGAACAAUUCAUUAGACAAGAAUAAAAAUAAGGCGUGUAUGACCAAAGCUAAAACUAAUACCCUAGAACGGAUUAAUAUCCAACUUCAAAGGGCAUCAGUUUGUCACAAUCGCAGAUCAUUCUCUGGUUAUGAACAAAAGGAACGUUCCAGAGAAAGCUGUAUGCGUACCUUCCAUUGAGGAUAAUAUUUGAAAUGUGAUUGUCCCUCUGUACAGGCUGAGGAAGCUUCAUCAUCUAUGUAAACUUUUUCAGCGGUCCAUGAGGAAUAACUCUUCUUCAUUAACCAAGUUGUCAUUGUAAACUUGUAACAUUUCACAUACCUCACCUGAGAGAAAGAAGGUUGAAAUUAGGACCGAUACAUUACCUUUUGCAAAUUUAAGUGAAAUUAAAUCGAGGGAAGAUGAAGAAUUCUUAAAUGUUCUCUAGGACUUGCAAUAGAUUAUUGGAAAAUCAAUUACUUCAGUUGAGCAUAUGGACUGCUCAGGUCAACUUCAUCUUGCUCACAAGGUCAAUCCUUUUAAAUAUAAAUAUUAAUUAGGUAAGUAACUGAAUAUAUGAUUCUUUCACACCUAUGCUUAAGUCUUGAUGCAAAUUCCCUUCCAUAGAACAGGUUCGUUAUACAUCAUUAAACUUACUCUUGUUUAGACACUAGCUUUUCCUUGCAAAUACUCUCACUCAUUUCCUAGCCUUGAUUUACAAUUCCAUAGUUUCUCAAACUGAGAAAACCAUAUGAUGAUUAAGAGAAAGAAGUUCAUGGAUGCAAAAAAAUUAAAUAUCUUCACCCAAGUCUUUGAGAUUUACAGUACCUCAAUAAUAAUAAAUACUAAUAAAGGGAAUGUAUUAUUUCUUGUAGGUUGCACAAAUAGUACGACCUCAGAUUGAAAAACCAGAAUGGUUCGAAAAUUUCCUACAACGGACUUUCUUCGAUCGUUGUAUAGCUCAUGAGCGCAGCAAGAACAGAUGCAACCAUUAUUGCAUCACUUGUGACACAUCAGCAUGUCAAUACUGCAUAUCGUCGGGCUUGCAUGGUGAACAUGAUAUAAUACAACUUUAUAGACAUCUCCAUCAAAAUGCUGUUCGCAUCACUGACAUGCAGAAAUAUUUCAGUUGUUCCAUGAUCCAGGUAAUUGAUUUUUAGGUUAAAAGACAUCAUUAUUUGAGGUUUUUCUGAACUUAUUUACUGCUCUUCAUUUUUUUAGUAUAUGAGUAGCUUCAGAUUAUGAAAAAUAUGAUAAUUUCAAAUAGAUUUUACAAGUUGAGUGCUUGUACACCUUGUCUAAAAACAAAAAAUAGACCUACCAAAAUUAUGCCAUUUCUAUUCUUUUAAUAGAUUUUAAAAGAAAGGAAAGAAAGAAACUCUUUCUGAAAGAACUCUAAAUAAGAAAGUAACUUACGAAAUUACAUAUUUAUCUGAAAAAGGUUUUCGAGACUCCCUGUUGUAAAAUGCCAAAUUACCUCACUCCAGCCCAACGCUUCCCUCACCAACCCCUGCUCCCCCGCUUUCCCCAGGCCACACCAAAAAAAGAGAAAGAAAUUAGAUCACAAUCCCAGAUAGGAUCUUAUCACCUAGACCUACUGCAGUCUGCAUACAACUGAUGUAGGAUUUUACCGCUUCCUUGCAUCCAUUUAAUUCAAUAUUUCCUCCACAAAUUAUCCAUAACAUUAUGUACGAAGGUUGAAAAAGAACUAUCCCAGAUAAUGCAGCUCCUUUAUUUGGUAGAUGGUUUCAGCUCCUAGACUGACUUAGUGACAUAUAGUAACAUGAAAUAUUAUCUAGUCAUUUCCUCAAGCUCCAAACUCGAUCAAUCGUCUUCUGAAUCUCAAUAGAUUCUUUUUCAUAAACUUCCACCAAAAUCCUCAAUCAUCUGAACCGAUCAUUUAAUCUUUUCCGGCUCAGAACUACCUGGACAUGGGCUUGGAGAUAGCAUGCGAGUGGUAAAGAUAGACAAUGGAAAUGUACCUGAAACAAUAUGGUCUACGAGAAAUCUCAGGUAAAAUAAGGUUUGAUGAUCUUAAAGGACUCUUAUGCGAAUUGUAAAAAUAGAAAAAGGACUAUAUGAGUACCGACUCUGUGAAACAAAUAUUUUAGGGUAAAAUGUAAUUUGGCCACCUGUGAUUUACACAUUUUUGUAAAUCAUCACCUGUGGUUAAAAAACCACCACUUAGCCACCUGUGGCUUAAAAAAAUUGCAAAGUCUCACUUUAGUGUUAACACCAUUAAAAGAAUGUGUUAAAGUACUAAAUGCCCUUCUUAACUCUUACUUUGCAUAUAACCACCUCAUUUGUUAUUUAUCUUGUUUUUUUCUCUCAAUUUUCACUAACUAGCUUCUAAAAUCAAACUAAGAAAAUCUUCUAUCAUCUCAGUCAAUCUUAAUUCAUUUGUAAUACAAAUCAACAUAAAUAAUAUUUAAUCUUUAAUGAUUCAUUACUAUAGUUAUUUUUUUACUAAAAUAUGAUCCCCAUCUUAAUUAAAGACAAUAUAUAUAUAUGUGUGUGUGUGUGUGUAUUACAUGUAUAUAUAGUAGGAGAUUCUUUUUCCUACGCGUUCGUAACUUCUCUCUCUACGACUCGGCUAUUAAUUUCAUGACUAAAUCUAAGCAUAUGAGGCUGCACACCUCUUGCAAAAACUACUAAAAACAAGGUUUUAUAGCUUCAUGUUUAACUUGCUACAACUUGAUUCAAUUAGUUGUCCAAGGCAUUACUUAGUUUAUCAUGCUUUAUGACUUACCAACUCUAACAUAUAUAAUCAUAACCCUAACAUGCAUACGUUCAUAAGUUCUAUCAUAAAAAAUUAUGAACGAACUAACAUACGAAAUAAACGAAUUCUAGGUUUACCUCUUGAAGUGUUAAGCUUUAUGAAUUCUUGAAUAACCAAGCCUCUUGAUUUCCCUCUCUCAAUUAUAAUUGUUCUUACUAUGGUAUUCUCUCACAAGCUUCUUA
This 3066-nucleotide long non-coding RNA is filed under the name Panax ginseng (ginseng). RNAcentral describes it as "long non-coding RNA (PGIN_LNC005301)". The record is from RNAcentral. Lineage: Eukaryota; Viridiplantae; Streptophyta; Magnoliopsida; Apiales; Araliaceae.